RNAcentral lists this non-coding RNA (107 nucleotides) under Pan troglodytes (chimpanzee). The record is from RNAcentral. Lineage: Eukaryota; Metazoa; Chordata; Mammalia; Primates; Hominidae.
GGCUGGCCUGGGGGUAGUGGAUUAUCAGAACUUAUUAACAUCAGUGUUACUGAAGUUGGUGUACAACGCCCCCCCCCCACCCCACUGGUAAAUUUGACUGGCUUUUU